CUUAAGGAAUCCACCAUGUAAGCAGGGCAUUCAAGGCUCUGGAAAUGUCUCCUAAGUAUUCUGGUUGGGUCCAUUACUCUCCCACACUCUACAGAGUAAAGUGGCUGAAGACUCCUACCUUUCAUACACUGUCCUAGCCUACCACCUUUCUCUUGGGGUAGAUAAAGAGAUAAAGGAAACAAAUCAGAGCAUCCCCAGCCCCAGAAGCGACCAGACCAAAAUUCCUCUGGGCCAACUGCAAAGCUGCUUGCCCCUACCACAAAAGAUCCUCUCUCAAGGAUGAGGGAGCCUAGAAAAUUAAUUCCCUUCAAAUCCAUCUAUCAGCUGCUUUUCAGCAUCCUUCAACCUACCCUGAUCCCUGGGAAUGGAAAUGAAAAGAGCUUCCUCCUUUUCUUUACUAAGCCAGGACAUCAACGCUUAGUGAAAUGAUGACCUCUCAGACGUAAGGAGGACAGCCAGAGAGAAGAACAGAUGGAAGGGUGGAUGGUGCAGUUUGAAAGCACAUAAGCAGCCCGGCUGAGCUGUUGGGGAAAAAAAAUUUUUUUUGGACACUGUUUCAGGCUCUUAUUGAAAAGGCUUGGUGUACUUUUUGCUAUUGGGAGAGGUGCUAUUUUAUAAG
RNAcentral lists this long non-coding RNA (619 nucleotides) under Monodelphis domestica (gray short-tailed opossum). RNAcentral's name for it is "lncRNA (ENSMODG00000051048.1)". The record is from RNAcentral. Lineage: Eukaryota; Metazoa; Chordata; Mammalia; Didelphimorphia; Didelphidae.